Molecule: transfer RNA, 633 nt
Filed under: uncultured cyanobacterium
Lineage: Bacteria; Bacillati; Cyanobacteriota
Description: 16S-23S ribosomal RNA intergenic spacer
Rfam family: tRNA (bases 251-323)
Source: RNAcentral
CAGGGAGACAAUAAAUUGAUUGUGAUGUCUAAGUUAUUUAUUCUUAGGCCGCAAUCCUGUCACCUUAAGGUCGAUCGGUACCUCAUAUUUUUGAAUUAUUUUUAUGAUUGAUUCUUUGAUUUCAGUUCCUAAACUUGUCUAGGUCACACCCAACAAAGGUUUCUCCUGGGCCAUUAGCUCAGGUGGUUAGAGCGCACCCCUGAUAAGGGUGAGGUCCCUGGUUCAAGUCCAGGAUGGUCCAUUCGUUGUUGGGGGUAUAGCUCAGUUGGUAGAGCGCCUGCUUUGCAAGCAGGAUGUCAGCGGUUCGAGUCCGCUUACCUCCACUGAAAACUAUCCUGAUAACUAAAUUUCUGGAGAAAAAAAUUGUAGAUGUGGCUUAGAAUUGUCUAUUUGAAAAGAACCUAGCUUCUUGUCAUCUUUUUAUAGUUGAUAAAAUGCUGGGCUCGCAUGGAUUAUUUCCAUGAGAAUUCAGUAGAACCUUGAAAACUGCAUAGAUUAGAAAGAAUAAAGCAUCUCAUGGAUGCAUAGUUCUGUUUUUAUAAUUUAGCCUUAGAACUAAAUUAUUUAAUUCUAGAAUUCAUGUUUAAUUCUUGAGUAAUAGCCGAGCACAAUUGAUUUUGUGAUUGUAUUUAA